This 875-nucleotide long non-coding RNA is filed under the name Equus asinus (donkey). RNAcentral's name for it is "lncRNA (ENSEASG00005032752.1)". The record is from RNAcentral. Lineage: Eukaryota; Metazoa; Chordata; Mammalia; Perissodactyla; Equidae.
GAGAGGCUCAGCUGACAACAGAAAAAGGACAGGAAAGAAGAAGGGAGAAAAGGUGGAAAAGGUCAUGUUCGGACUCCAGACCUGGUUUAUGGGAAAACAUCCUCAUCCAGAAUCAGAGGUUUUGUCUUGACCUCUUGAUGCUUGUGUGUUUUUGGUCAGCUGUCCCAUUUACUGUUUCCCAUUUCUAGUGAGUGAGUAGGCAGGGGGCUGGGGCAGCAGACAGAGUCAGCGGCAGGGACACGUCUCAGGCAUCCGAACCCCCUGGGUGCUGCUCCUGUGUGCGUUUGCUGGUCUCCCCCCAGAGACUCUGAGAAGCCGACUGGAUGCUCUCAUUUUAACAACACACACCUCUCCUCUUCUUGCUCCUUCUCCGAGCCAGAAACUACAUGAUCUACAGACGCGUUUGGGGAGGACUGUCCCGGAUGACUCUAACGGACCUUUCAACGAAACAUGUGGGACGCAAGCUGAGAAGAAUGCUCACCCACCUCAAGGGCCAUAUUUUCCAAGGAUCUCUUCAGCAAUUGCAAAAGAGGAUGAUGGCAGAGGAAGACUUCUCAGAGGGUGCAGCCAAGAGUCGUGUGGAACCAUGGACUGGGAGCCACUGCCAGGCAGCAGAACCAAGGCCCAGUGAAGGCACACUGCCUGCUCCUGGAGUGCUUAGUGUUGUGUGCCACUGAGUUUGGGGUGACUUGUUAUGCAACACUCUUGUGAAAAGGUGGCAGACACUGAAAUUGGCAUCCAGAACGAGGCCCUGGCUGCACCCAAAGGGAAACGGGGGCGUGGGGGGUUCCUUUUGCAUACCCAGUUUCUGUGGCCUUGUGUGCUCCCCGUUUUGUCCCAUGUCUGAAUGUAAAUGUUGCAGGAAGUCUGUCUCU